This 1475-nucleotide ribosomal RNA is filed under the name Mycobacterium riyadhense. RNAcentral's name for it is "16S ribosomal RNA". It matches the Rfam family "Bacterial small subunit ribosomal RNA". Lineage: Bacteria; Bacillati; Actinomycetota; Actinomycetes; Mycobacteriales; Mycobacteriaceae. The record is from RNAcentral.
UGGUUCAGGACGAACGCUGGCGGCGUGCUUAACACAUGCAAGUCGAACGGAAAGGCCCCUUCGGGGGUACUCGAGUGGCGAACGGGUGAGUAACACGUGGGUAAUCUGCCCUGCACUUCGGGAUAAGCCUGGGAAACUGGGUCUAAUACCGGAUAGGACCUAGAGGCGCAUGCCUUGUGGUGGAAAGCUUUUGCGGUGUGGGAUGGGCCCGCGGCCUAUCAGCUUGUUGGUGGGGUGACGGCCUACCAAGGCGACGACGGGUAGCCGGCCUGAGAGGGUGUCCGGCCACACUGGGACUGAGAUACGGCCCAGACUCCUACGGGAGGCAGCAGUGGGGAAUAUUGCACAAUGGGCGCAAGCCUGAUGCAGCGACGCCGCGUGGGGGAUGACGGCCUUCGGGUUGUAAACCUCUUUCACCAUCGACGAAGGUUCGGGUUUUCUCGGAUUGACGGUAGGUGGAGAAGAAGCACCGGCCAACUACGUGCCAGCAGCCGCGGUAAUACGUAGGGUGCGAGCGUUGUCCGGAAUUACUGGGCGUAAAGAGCUCGUAGGUGGUUUGUCGCGUUGUUCGUGAAAUCUCACGGCUUAACUGUGAGCGUGCGGGCGAUACGGGCAGACUGGAGUACUGCAGGGGAGACUGGAAUUCCUGGUGUAGCGGUGGAAUGCGCAGAUAUCAGGAGGAACACCGGUGGCGAAGGCGGGUCUCUGGGCAGUAACUGACGCUGAGGAGCGAAAGCGUGGGGAGCGAACAGGAUUAGAUACCCUGGUAGUCCACGCCGUAAACGGUGGGUACUAGGUGUGGGUUUCCUUCCUUGGGAUCCGUGCCGUAGCUAACGCAUUAAGUACCCCGCCUGGGGAGUACGGCCGCAAGGCUAAAACUCAAAGGAAUUGACGGGGGCCCGCACAAGCGGCGGAGCAUGUGGAUUAAUUCGAUGCAACGCGAAGAACCUUACCUGGGUUUGACAUGCACAGGACGCGUCUAGAGAUAGGCGUUCCCUUGUGGCCUGUGUGCAGGUGGUGCAUGGCUGUCGUCAGCUCGUGUCGUGAGAUGUUGGGUUAAGUCCCGCAACGAGCGCAACCCUUGUCUCAUGUUGCCAGCGGGUAAUGCCGGGGACUCGUGAGAGACUGCCGGGGUCAACUCGGAGGAAGGUGGGGAUGACGUCAAGUCAUCAUGCCCCUUAUGUCCAGGGCUUCACACAUGCUACAAUGGCCGGUACAAAGGGCUGCGAUGCCGUGAGGUUAAGCGAAUCCUUUUAAAGCCGGUCUCAGUUCGGAUCGGGGUCUGCAACUCGACCCCGUGAAGUCGGAGUCGCUAGUAAUCGCAGAUCAGCAACGCUGCGGUGAAUACGUUCCCGGGCCUUGUACACACCGCCCGUCACGUCAUGAAAGUCGGUAACACCCGAAGCCAGUGGCCUAACCCUUGGGAGGGAGCUGUCGAAGGUGGGAUCGGCGAUUGGGACGAAGUCGUAACAAGG